This 346-nucleotide ribosomal RNA is filed under the name uncultured bacterium. RNAcentral describes it as "partial 16S ribosomal RNA". It matches the Rfam family "Bacterial small subunit ribosomal RNA", at positions 338 to 681 of the family's 1533-position model. The record is from RNAcentral.
CCUACGGGUGGCAGCAGUGAGGAAUAUUGGUCAAUGGCCGUAAGGCUGAACCAGCCAAGUAGCGUGAGGGAAGACUGCCCUAUGGGUUGUAAACCUCUUUUAUGCGGGGAUAAAGGGGGCCACGUGUGGAGGUUUGCAGGUACCGCAUGAAUAAGGACCGGCUAAGUCCGUGCCAGCAGCCGCGGUAAUACGGAGGAGCCGAGCGUUAUCCGGAUUUAUUGGGUUUACAGGGAGCGUAGAUGGGUUGUUAAGUCAGUUGUGACAGUUUGCGGCUCAACCGUAAAAUUGAACUUGAUACUGGCAGUCUUGAGUACAGUUGAUGUCGUCGUCAUUCGUGUUGUAGCGG